RNAcentral lists this ribosomal RNA (403 nucleotides) under bacterium. RNAcentral's name for it is "partial 16S ribosomal RNA". It matches the Rfam family "Bacterial small subunit ribosomal RNA", at positions 355 to 776 of the family's 1533-position model. The record is from RNAcentral.
UGGGGAAUAUUGCACAAUGGGGGAAACCCUGAUGCAGCGACGCCGCGUGAACGAAGAAGGUAUUCGUAUCGUAAAGUUCUGUCCUAUGGGAAGAUAAUGACAGUACCAUAGAAGAAAGCUCCGGCUAAAUACGUGCCAGCAGCCGCGGUAAUACGUAUGGAGCGAGCGUUGUCCGGAAUUAUUGGGCGUAAAGGGUACGCAGGCGGUUUAAUAAGUCGAAUGUUAAAGAUCGGGGCUCAACCCCGCAAAGCAUUGGAAACUGAUAAACUUGAGUAGUGGAGAGGAAAGUGGAAUUCCUAGUGUAGUGGUGAAAUACGUAGGUAUUAGGAGGAAUACCAGUAGCGAAGGCGACUUUCUGGACACAAACAGACGCUGAGGUACGAAAGCGUGGGGAGCAAACAGG